Molecule: ribosomal RNA, 250 nt
Filed under: uncultured bacterium
Lineage: Bacteria
Description: partial 16S ribosomal RNA
Rfam family: Bacterial small subunit ribosomal RNA
Source: RNAcentral
GACAGAGGGUGCAAACGUUGUUCGGAAUUACUGGGCGUAAAGCGCGUGUAGGCGGCUUGGCAAGUCGGAUGUGAAAGCCCUGGGCUCAACCCAGGAAGUGCAUUCGAAACUGCGAAGCUGGAGUCCCGGAGAGGAAAGCGGAAUUCUCGGUGUAGAGGUGAAAUUCGUAGAUAUCGAGAGGAACACCGGUGGCGAAGGCGGCUUUCUGGACGGUGACUGACGCUGAGACGCGAAAGCGUGGGGAGCAAAC